Molecule: long non-coding RNA, 1278 nt
Filed under: Piliocolobus tephrosceles (Ugandan red Colobus)
Lineage: Eukaryota; Metazoa; Chordata; Mammalia; Primates; Cercopithecidae
Description: lncRNA (ENSPTEG00000017069.1)
Source: RNAcentral
AAAUGUUCAUCCACAAAAAUUACAAAUGAUUUGGACAAAACGGAAAUAUUAAAAGAAAAUGGUUUGUUACGAAAAGAUGAACAUAGUAAUACUUUUAGUAGCUCAUUAAAUGAUUUUUAUUUACAUAAAAAGCAACAUAUUUUAUGUUUUUGUAACGUUUCAUCAAGUAAAAAAACAAAAAAAUUAAAUAAAAGUCAUAAAAAAUAUAUAAAUAAUACGUUAAAAUUUGUAAAAAGUAUAAAUACUCUAAAAAAUAGGGGAUAUAUAAAUAAUAACUUUUAUAUACAUGAAAAUUAUGUUAAUAAAAUGUGUAAUAAUAUGCUCCUUAAAAAUAAUAAGUUAAGUGCGAUAUGUUUUUCUACAAAGAAGUGGCGGUAUAUGAUGAGGAUGAAACGAGAAAAAAGAAAAAACUACUUUUAUACAUACCGAAAAGUUAAUAAAAUGAUAAAGCAUAAAAGUAGAACUUACAGUUUUAAUAAAUCAAAUAGUAUCAAAAUAAUAGAUUCGGUAGAAAAAAGAUUAAAAAAAAAAACAGAGGAUGAUAUGCGAACAAUAAUUUUUUUUAAAAUGCUAUGUUUGUAUAAAUAUGUUGUAGUGAUUUCUAAAAAUAGUACGAAUCAAAAACAGAUAUAUACUAUGUUAAAUAAUGAAGAGUUACAUACAAUGUCUAAUUUUGAUGAAGAAAAAAAUAGUAGUACUAGUUUUAAGAACACAUGGAAUGUAUAUAAUGAAGAAUGUAACACCUAUAGCGCUAUAAAAAAAGAAAUACUUCAAUAUAUUAUAAAAUAUUUAAAAAGAGUUAAAAAAUUAAUUCAGUUUGAUACAUAUUUAUAUUUAUUACUUAGUGCUGUUUAUUAUGAUUUACAAAAAUUUAAAAAAAGUAUACUAUGCGUAAGAAAUAGUAUUAAAAUGGAUUACUUUAAUUUUGUUUCUUGGUACUAUUUUAAUUGUUCUAUUUCUAUUGAAGUAAUUAAAUCGCCUAAUUUGACGUAUAAAGGCAGUAACAAAGGGCGUGAUAAUCUGUUUAAUAAUGUAUGGAUUGAUAGAGAGUGUAAAAAAAAAAAAAAAAAUGAUAAAACAAAAGUGCGCUUUACAAAAAAAAAAAAUAUAUAUUUAAUAAAUUCGAAUAGAAUAAAACGGCUUUGCAGUUACAUAUUUAAUAAUAAUUUUUUUUUACAUAAUAAGUUAAACGAAAUAAAUGUUAUGAAUAAUUAUAACAACUAUAUUUAUAAUAACCCAUUUAGUACUUUAAACGAAUCAUUUUUUUUUAAAAAAAAU